RNAcentral lists this ribosomal RNA (442 nucleotides) under uncultured bacterium. Its description in RNAcentral is "SSU rRNA". It matches the Rfam family "Bacterial small subunit ribosomal RNA", at positions 370 to 808 of the family's 1533-position model. The record is from RNAcentral.
UAUGGACGCAAGUCUGAACCAGCCAUGCCGCGCUGCAGGAAGACAGCUCUAUGAGUUGUAAACUGCUUUUGUACUAGGGUAAACGCUCCUACGUGUAGGAGUCUGAAAGUAUAGUACGAAUAAGGAUCGGCUAACUCCGUGCCAGCAGCCGCGGUAAUACGGAGGAUCCGAGCGUUAUCCGGAUUUAUUGGGUUUAAAGGGAGCGUAGAUGGAUGUUUAAGUCAGUUGUGAAAGUUUGCGGCUCAACCGUAAAAUUGCAGUUGAUACUGGAUAUCUUGAGUGCAGUUGAGGCAGGCGGAAUUCGUGGUGUAGCGGUGAAAUGCUUAGAUAUCACGAAGAACUCCGAUUGCGAAGGCAGCCUGCUAAGCUGCAACUGACAUUGAGGCUCGAAAGUGUGGGUAUCAAACAGGAUUAGAUACCCUGGUAGUCCAAGGGCGAAUUC